GACGAACGCUGGCGGCGUGCUUAACACAUGCAAGUCGAACGGAAAGGCCCUGCUCUUGUGGGUUGCUCGAGUGGCGAAGGGGAGAGUAACACGUGAGUAACCUGACCUUGACUUUUGUAUAACUUCACGAAACUGGGGCUAAUAUCGGAUAGGAUCUCCUGCGGCUUGGUGGUGGUUGGAAAGGUUCGGCGGUUGGGGAUGGACUCGCGGCGCAUCAGGCUGUUGGUCGGGUAGGUGCUGACGUCGGCUUUGACGGGUAGCCGGCGUGAGAGGGUUGCCGGCCACGCUGGGACUGAGAUACGGCCCAGCCUCGUACGGGAUGGAACAGUGGGGAAUAUUGCGCAGUGGGGGGGAGCCUGGUGCGACGGCGCCGUGUGCGGGAUGACCGCCUUCGGGCAGUGAACCACUUUCGCCUGUGACGAAGCGUGAGUGACGGUAAUGGGUAAAGAAGCACCGGCUAACUACGUG
Molecule: ribosomal RNA, 468 nt
Filed under: uncultured bacterium
Lineage: Bacteria
Description: partial 16S ribosomal RNA
Rfam family: Bacterial small subunit ribosomal RNA
Source: RNAcentral